AGUGGCGGACGGGUGAGUAACGCGUGGGUAACCUGCCUUACACAGGGGGAUAACACUUAGAAAUAGGUGCUAAUACCGCAUAAGCGCACAGUCCCGCAUGGGACAGUGUGAAAAACUGAGGUGGUGUAAGAUGGACCCGCGUCUGAUUAGCUAGUUGGUGGGGUAACGGCCCACCAAGGCGACGAUCAGUAGCCGGCCUGAGAGGGUGGACGGCCACAUUGGGACUGAGACACGGCCCAAACUCCUACGGGAGGCAGCAGUGGGGGAUAUUGGACAAUGGGGGGAACCCUGAUCCAGCGACGCCGCGUGAGUGAAGAAGUAUCUCGGUAUGUAAAGCUCUAUCAGCAGGGAAGAAAGAAAUGACGGUACCUGAGUAAGAAGCCCCGGCUAACUACGUGCCAGCAGCCGCGGUAAUACGUAGGGGGCUAGCGUUAUCCGGAAUUACUGGGCGUAAAGGGUGCGUAGGUGGUUUCUUAAGUCAGAGGUGAAAGGCUACGGCUCAACCGUAGUAAGCCUUUGAAACUGGGAAACUUGAGUGCAGGAGAGGAGAGUGGAAUUCCUAGUGUAGCGGUGAAAUGCGUAGAUAUUAGGAGGAACACCAGUUGCGAAGGCGGCUCUCUGGACUGUAACUGACACUGAGGCACGAAGCGUGGGGAGCAAACAGGAUUAGAUACCCUGGUA
This 681-nucleotide ribosomal RNA is filed under the name uncultured bacterium. RNAcentral's name for it is "bacterial SSU rRNA". It matches the Rfam family "Bacterial small subunit ribosomal RNA", at positions 94 to 792 of the family's 1533-position model. The record is from RNAcentral.